RNAcentral lists this ribosomal RNA (724 nucleotides) under uncultured bacterium. RNAcentral's name for it is "bacterial SSU rRNA". It matches the Rfam family "Bacterial small subunit ribosomal RNA", at positions 23 to 744 of the family's 1533-position model. The record is from RNAcentral.
UUUUCGGUGACCGCUAGCGGCAGGCCUAAUACAUGCAAGUCGAACGGGAUUUGAGUAGCAAUACUUAAUGAGAGUGGCGCACGGGUGCGUAACGCGUAUGCAACCUACCUUUAACAGGGGGAUAGCUCCGAGAAAUCGGGAUUAAUACCCCAUAGUAUUAUUGAUUGGCAUCGAUUAAUAAUUAAAGCUCCGGCGGUUAAAGAUGGGCAUGCGUGCCAUUAGCUAGUUGGUGAGGUAAGGGCUCACCAAGGCGAUGAUGGCUAGGGGUUCUGAGAGGAUUAUCCCCCACACUGGUACUGAGACACGGACCAGACUCCUACGGGAGGCAGCAGUAAGGAAUAUUGGGCAAUGGACGCAAGUCUGACCCAGCCAUGCCGCGUGCAGGAAGACGGCCCUAUGGGUUGUAAACUGCUUUUAUCAGGGAAUAAACCCCCGGAUGUAUCCGGGGCUGAAUGUACCUGAAGAAUAAGCAUCGGCUAACUCCGUGCCAGCAGCCGCGGUAAUACGGAGGAUGCAAGCGUUAUCCGGAUUCAUUGGGUUUAAAGGGUGCGCAGGCGGAUUAUUAAGUCAGUGGUGAAAUCCUACAGCUCAACUGUAGAACUGCCAUUGAUACUGAUAAUCUUGAGUAUAUUUGAAGUGGGCGGAAUGUAGCAUGUAGCGGUGAAAUGCAUAGAUAUGCUACAGAACACCAAUUGCGAAGGCAGCUCACUAAACUAUAACUGAC